AGUGAACGCUGGCGGUAGGCCUAACACAUGCAAGUCGAACGGCAGCACAGGAGAGCUUGCUCUCUGGGUGGCGAGUGGCGGACGGGUGAAGAAUACAUCGGAAUCUACUCUGUCGUGGGGGAUAACGUAGGGAAACUUACGCUAAUACCGCAUACGACCUACGGGUGAAAGCAGGGGAUCGUCGGACCUUGCGCGAUUGAAUGAGCCGAUGUCGGAUUAGCUAGUUGGCGGGGUAAAGGCCCACCAAGGCGACGAUCCGUAGCUGGUCUGAGAGGAUGAUCAGCCACACUGGAACUGAGACACGGUCCAGACUCCUACGGGAGGCAGCAGUGGGGAAUAUUGGACAAUGGGCGCAAGCCUGAUCCAGCCAUACCGCGUGGGUGAAGAAGGCCUUCGGGUUGUAAAGCCCUUUUGUUGGGAAAGAAAUCCAGCUGGCUAAUACCCGGUUGGGAUGACGGUACCCAAAGAAUAAGCACCGGCUAACUUCGUGCCAGCCGCCGCCGUAA
Molecule: ribosomal RNA, 506 nt
Filed under: uncultured bacterium
Lineage: Bacteria
Description: partial 16S ribosomal RNA
Rfam family: Bacterial small subunit ribosomal RNA
Source: RNAcentral